UUUCGGAACUAUUUGCAAGGUGCUGCAUGGUUGUCGUCAGCUCGUGCCGUGAGGUGUCGGGUUAAGUCCCAUAACGAGCGCAACCCUUAUCGUUAGUUGCCAUCGGGUAAUGCCGGGGACUCUAGCGAAACUGCCGGUGUAAACCGCGAGGAAGGUGGGGAUGACGUCAAAUCAGCACGGCCCUUAUGUCCAGGGCUACACACGUGUUACAAUGGCCGGUACAGAGGGCAGCUACCUGGAGACAGGAUGCGAAUCUCGAAAGCCGGUCUCAGUUCGGAUCGGAGUCUGCAACCCGACUCCGUGAAGCUGGAUUCGCUAGUAAUCGCGCAUCAGCCAUGGCGCGGUGAAUACGUUCCCGGGCCUU
Molecule: ribosomal RNA, 364 nt
Filed under: uncultured Sphingobacteriales bacterium
Lineage: Bacteria; Pseudomonadati; Bacteroidota; Sphingobacteriia; Sphingobacteriales
Description: bacterial SSU rRNA
Rfam family: Bacterial small subunit ribosomal RNA
Source: RNAcentral